RNAcentral lists this unclassified non-coding RNA (18 nucleotides) under Mus musculus (house mouse). RNAcentral's name for it is "oocyte_clustered_small_RNA11099". Lineage: Eukaryota; Metazoa; Chordata; Mammalia; Rodentia; Muridae. The record is from RNAcentral.
GUUCAGCUGGUUAGAAUG